GACCUGGUACGGUGGUCCGCCUUCACGGUGUGUACUGCUGGACCGGGUUCUACCUCUUGGUGAGCCGGCAUGCCCUUCACUGGGUGUGUCGGGGAACCAGGACUUUUACCUUGAGAAAAUUAGAGUGUUCAAAGCAGGCAUGUGCCGGAAUAAUUGCGCUGGGAAUAAUGGAAUAGGACC
This 180-nucleotide ribosomal RNA is filed under the name uncultured Glomeromycotina. Its description in RNAcentral is "partial small subunit ribosomal RNA". Lineage: Eukaryota; Fungi; Glomeromycota. The record is from RNAcentral.